UGCUAUUGAUCUUUCUUCUGUUAACUGAAGCUUAUCUGAUUCAAUUCUUAAUGUAUGCGAUUUGGUUUCUUUGUGUUCCACUGGUGAUAAUGUGUUUUUUUUUUGGUUUUGGUUGUGUAGGUACUAUGCAAACGAUUAUUUGUAUUGUUCAGUUGCUGCUUUUCUUGGUCUGUAUUGAGGUUGGUCAUUGUCUAGAUAUCAGUAACAGUGUGCAAUCGGAAUUUGAAAGUGCUUUGAACUUGGAUCAUAAAGGAUUGUGGAUGUGCUGCUAGUGGUGCGGGGAACGCAAGUAGGGAUCCAAAUUUGAUCCCACCACCUCCUCCAACCAUUCCACCAAAUGUAAAGCCAGGAGUCCUGACUUCUCCCAAGUAUUCUAUUACGAGUAGGAAACAAUUGCUUGCAAACCACUUCAAACUCACUGUGAAAGCUCCAGAUUCUGUAUUCUACCAAUAUUCUGUAUGUCUACCUCAUGUCAUUCUUUUGCUGUGCAGUUUACUA
Long non-coding RNA from Rosa chinensis, 498 nucleotides. RefSeq lists it as uncharacterized. NCBI's taxonomy places the organism in Eukaryota, Viridiplantae, Streptophyta, Magnoliopsida, Rosales, Rosaceae. The record is from RefSeq and is a predicted model, not a curated record. The transcript is spliced from 3 exons.